RNAcentral lists this ribosomal RNA (253 nucleotides) under uncultured bacterium. Its description in RNAcentral is "partial 16S ribosomal RNA". It matches the Rfam family "Bacterial small subunit ribosomal RNA", at positions 524 to 776 of the family's 1533-position model. The record is from RNAcentral.
UACAGAGACUGCAAGCGUUAUUCGGAUUCACUGGGCGUAAAGGGUGCGCAGGCGGCUAUGUGUGCCAGGUGUGAAAUCCCGGGGCUCAACCCCGGAACUGCGCCUGAAACUACGUAGCUAGAGUAUUGGAGAGGGUAGUGGAAUUCACGGUGUAGCAGUGAAAUGCGUAGAUAUCGUGAGGAACACCAGAGGCGAAGGCGACUACCUGGACAAUUACUGACGCUCAGGCACGAAAGCGUGGGGAGCAAAAGGG